AGAGNGAUGGCUCAAUGGUUAAGAGCACUGGCUACUCUUCCAGAGGACCUGGGUUUGAUUCCCAGUACCUCCA
Molecule: transfer RNA, 73 nt
Organism: Neotoma lepida (desert woodrat)
Lineage: Eukaryota; Metazoa; Chordata; Mammalia; Rodentia; Cricetidae
Rfam family: tRNA
About the family: Transfer RNA (tRNA) molecules are approximately 80 nucleotides in length. Their secondary structure includes four short double-helical elements and three loops (D, anti-codon, and T loops).
Source: Rfam